UGGAGGGCAAGUCUGGUGCCAGCAGCCGCGGUAAUUCCAGCCCCAAUAGCGUAUAUUAAAGUUGUUGCAGUUAAAAAGCUCGUAGUUGAAUUUCGGGGUUAGUAGGUUGGUCGUGCCUAUGGUACGCACUGGCUUUACUGAUUCCUCCUUCUUGAAGAACUGUUAUGUCAUUAAUUUGGUGUUGCAGGGAAACAGGACUGUUACUUUGAAAAAAUUAGAGUGUUUAAAGCAGGC
Molecule: ribosomal RNA, 234 nt
Filed under: uncultured Glomus
Lineage: Eukaryota; Fungi; Glomeromycota; Glomeromycetes; Glomerales; Glomeraceae
Description: partial 18S ribosomal RNA
Rfam family: Eukaryotic small subunit ribosomal RNA
Source: RNAcentral